Molecule: transfer RNA, 74 nt
Filed under: Candidatus Staskawiczbacteria bacterium
Lineage: Bacteria; Candidatus Staskawicziibacteriota
Description: tRNA-Met
Rfam family: tRNA
About the family: Transfer RNA (tRNA) molecules are approximately 80 nucleotides in length.
Source: RNAcentral
GCCGGGGUAGCUCAGUUGGUAAGAGCGCAUCACUCAUAACGAUGAGGUCGCGAGUUCGAUUCUCGCCCUCGGCA